AUGAUACUGCUUAACAAAUCAUGGGAAAAUGUUUUUUUUCUUUUUUUUUACCUUAAAUUAGAUGAACAGUUGUCACCCAUUUGUAAAUGUCAGCAAAGUGUAAGAAGCCUUGAAAAUAAAGCACAUGAGGCCCUGUCUCACUUCACAGAGCCACUGGAUGUAAAGGGUGCUGAAGAAGAUGGAAAAGAUCAUGAAAACAAGAAUCAGAGUAGCUCAGAUGCUUCUGAAGAUAGAGACCUUGAAAAUGUAUCAGACAGUGAAAAAGAAGGGAAGAAGGAAAAGAACUGCCCUCCUAAAAUGUUGUCACCUCAGCAAGAUGAAAUCCUAGCUACAGUAACUUUUGGUGAGUUAGAGGGCUCAUUCAAAGGAAAAAUUACACUGUGUGGCAAGCCAGACUUUUCAGAGUCCAUUAGCUUGACCACUGGAAAAAUUUCUGCAGAAGUAAAAUACGGCUCUUUUAAUAUGAGAGUAGAAGUUAGGAAUAUUUCUUUCUUUGAUUCUGAAACAAAAGUUGUGGAUGAAAAAAGGAAAGGUUCAAAGAACAAAAAACACUGUCAUGAAGGACAGUGCCAGAAAAGUCAGUGUUCAAAAUGUUCAAAGUACCAGUGUCCUUCAAGUGACCACUCAGCAGAACACAAGGGGAAAUAUAAAGGAUCCUCUAAACGAAAAGUUCAAACUGCCAUCAAUGAAAGUGCCUCCCUGGAAAUUGAAGCAAAAGACAUUCAAGUGGAAUGUAUCAGCAGAAAGAAGACUCUAAAGGUUAACAUCAAAGCUGUUGAGCAGGCACAGAGCAAACCAUGUAACAGGGAACAUGAAGAUACAUAUUGGAGUGAAACAGAUUAUUCUGUAACAGAGGCACUGUGUAACACAGAUUGCGAGUCAUCAUUUAGCUUUCAUGAAAAAGCAGAUUAUACGUUCCCAGAUGGAUAUACACUUCUCCCUCCACCUAAAGAAUUUGCUGACUGUGACGAAAUGCACCUGGAUACAAUUGCAGAAGGCAUAUCUUCGUACCCUGUUAAUAGCAAAAAGGAAUCUGACAGCCUCACUACAGCCUUGAGUAUUUGGGGGGAAGAGAAUUAUUUCUGUAAACUUAACACAGAGGACUAUGAAGACCACACCAAUGAAAAGGAAGAUUUUUCAAAGGAUAAAGUAUUUUUCUCAAAAAUAAAUAAUACUAAUUGUCUUGUAGCUAUUAAUACCUUGCAUAACCCAAACAAUGGGAAGGAAUGUAUUAGUAAAAGCAGUGUAAUAGGUGCAGAAAGAAAUAACUGUGACAUACACAGAGACACAGGGCCAAAGACAGCAAGAAGAAAAUCUUUCCCAGAUACUACCCUGGAUGUACUAUCACCAGUUCACCCUAGAAGGGAUUCUGGCUUUUAUUCACUGCCAUCCUUAAAAGUAUUGCUUAAGGAGACCAAAGCAGGAGAUGUCUGUAACAGGAACUCGCAUAUUCCUACCGAAUGUAAGGAACUUUGUAAGUGUCCUGACUUGACCUCCUCUCUGACAGAGCUUUGCAAGUAUCCCGACUUGACCUCCUCACUGAGAAAUUUGAGAAGUCUUAAGUCUUCAUAUCAGUAUGCUUUCACAUCAUUUGAUCAUAAUAUUACCAUUUAUCCAUCUGAAGAUGUCUGUCUAGAUGGCACUUGUUUACUGAAUGACUGUGCAGACUUUGUGGGGCAAGGUGAAGAAACAGAAGAAACAUUAAUGGAGAAUCUUCAUUCCAGUGGUGCUGUACAUGACAAAACAGACAACAGCCACAAAGAGCCUCUUGGAAACCUAGCCAUGUGGGAAGAAGACUCUGAGUCUACUGAAGCUUUAGAUAAAGAGAAAUCAGAGUACAACCCUAUAGAAAAGCAUGUUGAAUGGCAGAAAAAAGCUCACCUGGUACAAGUGUCUCCACUUUCUACAAGCCCUUCAGGUGAAUUCAUUAAUGACAAAGAAAGUACUAAUUAUGCAUCUACAGAAAGCAUCCCAAAACGAUGUUCAGUUUUACAGUUAAAUGUUCACCCACCUUAUGCAGAGUCUGAGGCAACACAUAAAAGAAGACGGUCAGUACUGACUGACUCUCCAGUGAUAACUGGAGAAGUAGAAGAAAGACUUGUCCAAGGUGACCCUACAUUGAUGCCUGAAUGUUUUGGCUCUGCAUUAAGGAAAGAACCUAACCUUACCAGCAGUAUACAAGAAAAAUCCUUGCUGUCAUCCUUGCUGUUAGAUCCCAAGGAGCAUCACAUGAAUAAAGAAUUGGAAAGCCUUUCUGAGGUACAGGACUUACCUGGGGAUGUCCUUGUUAAAUCUGAUUGCCAUAAUAAUUCAGCCCAGGCUUCCAAAUUAUCUACCCCUUCAGUUUGCACAGAAAAGAAAGAGAAUUUCACAGAACAUUCAAACAUCAAGCAAAGACUGGAGAACUUUUGCAGUAAACAGUCAACUGAUGACAGUUUAAGGAGAGAGCCUGGAGCAAAUCAACUACCUCUGUUAGUCAAGUCCAACUUUGAAGAAAUUGAGUCAAAUUUUGAAAUAAAAGAAGAUUAUUAUGAGAAUGCAGAUGUCUCCUCAUCAUCAGUAAAACAGAUUAAUCAGAAAGGUAGGUGCUACAAGACUUUUCAAGUUAGUAUCACUUACACACCUUUUGUGUAG
Corvus moneduloides (New Caledonian crow) is the source of this 2634-nucleotide long non-coding RNA. Lineage: Eukaryota; Metazoa; Chordata; Aves; Passeriformes; Corvidae. The record is from Ensembl.